This 432-nucleotide ribosomal RNA is filed under the name uncultured bacterium. Its description in RNAcentral is "partial 16S ribosomal RNA". It matches the Rfam family "Bacterial small subunit ribosomal RNA", at positions 29 to 507 of the family's 1533-position model. The record is from RNAcentral.
ACGCACGCUGGCGGCAUGCCUAACCCAUGCCAGUCGCACGAGACCUUCGGGUCUAGUGGCGCACGGGUGCGUAACGCGUGGGAACCUGCCCUUAGGUUCGGAAUAACUCCCCGAAAGGGGUGCUAAUACCGGAUAAUGUCUUCGGACCAAAGAUUUAUCGCCUUUGGAUGGGCCCGCGUUGGAUUAGCUAGUUGGUAGGGUAAAAGCCUACCAAGGCGACGAUCCAUAGCUGGUCUGAGAGGAUGAUCAGCCACACUGGGACUGAGACACGGCCCAGACUCCUACGGGAGGCAGCAGUGGGGAAUAUUGGACAAUGGGCGAAAGCCUGAUCCAGCAAUGCCGCGUGAGUGAUGAAGGCCUUAGGGUUGUAAAGCUCUUUUACCCGGGAUGAUAAUGACAGUACCGGGAGAAUAAGCUCCGGCUAACUCCGUG